AACGUAGGAGACAAACGUUAUCCGGAGUUACUGGGCGUAAAGGGCGUGUAGGUGGUUGCGUAAGUCUGGCGUGAAAUUUUUCGGCUUAACCGGGAAAGGUCGUCGGAUACUGCGGAACUCGAGGACGGUAGAGGCGUGUGGAAUUCCGGGUGUAGUGGUGAAAUGCGUAGAGAUCCGGAGGAACACCAGUGGCGAAGGCGACACGCUGGGCCGUACCUGACACUGAUGCGCGACAGCAUGGGGAGCAAACAGG
Molecule: ribosomal RNA, 253 nt
Filed under: uncultured bacterium
Lineage: Bacteria
Description: partial 16S ribosomal RNA
Rfam family: Bacterial small subunit ribosomal RNA
Source: RNAcentral